UACGAGAGGCCCAAACGUUAUUCGGAAUUACUGGGCUUAAAGAGUGCGUAGGCGGCCUUGCAAGUCGGGUGUGAAAGCCCUCGGCUCAACCGAGGAAUUGCGCUCUAAACUGCAGUGCUUGAGGAACCUAGAGGUGAGCAGAACAGAUGGUGGAGCGGUGAAAUGCGUUGAUAUCAUCUGGAAUACCGGAGGCGAAGGCGGCUCACUGGGUGUUUUCUGACGCUGAGGAACGAAAGCCAGGGUAGCGAACGGG
Molecule: ribosomal RNA, 253 nt
Filed under: uncultured bacterium
Lineage: Bacteria
Description: partial 16S ribosomal RNA
Rfam family: Bacterial small subunit ribosomal RNA
Source: RNAcentral